This 532-nucleotide ribosomal RNA is filed under the name uncultured bacterium. RNAcentral describes it as "partial 16S ribosomal RNA". It matches the Rfam family "Bacterial small subunit ribosomal RNA", at positions 355 to 895 of the family's 1533-position model. The record is from RNAcentral.
UGGGGAAUAUUGCACAAUGGGCGAAAGCCUGAUGCAGCAACGCCGCGUGAGGGACGACGGCCUUCGGGUUGUAAACCUCUUUUAGCAAGGAAGAAACGAAAGUGACGGUACUUGCAGAAAAAGCGCCGGCUAACUACGUGCCAGCAGCCGCGGUAAUACGUAGGGCGCAAGCGUUAUCCGGAAUUAUUGGGCGUAAAGAGCUCGUAGGCGGUUUGUCGCGUCUGCUGUGAAAACCCGAGGCUCAACCUCGGGCCUGCAGUGGGUACGGGCAGACUAGAGUGCGGUAGGGGAGAUUGGAACUCCUGGUGUAGCGGUGGAAUGCGCAGAUAUCAGGAAGAACACCGAUGGCGAAGGCAGAUCUCUGGGCCGUAACUGACGCUGAGGAGCGAAAGGGUGGGGAGCAAACAGGCCUUAGAUGACCCCUGGUAGUCCACCCCGUAAACGUUGGGAACUAGUUGUGGGGUCCAUUCCACGGAUUCCGUGACGCAGCUAACGCAUUAAGUUCCCCGCCUGGGGAGUACGCCGCAAGGCU